AAGGGUAACACGUUCAGAUUACAAGUCUGAACGCUUCUUUUUCCACCGGAGCUUGCUCCACCGGAAAAAGAGGAGUGGCGAACGGGUGAGUAACACGUGGGUAACCUGCCCAUCAGAAGGGGAUAACACUUGGAAACAGGUGCUAAUACCGUAUAACAAUCGAAACCGCAUGGUUUUGAUUUGAAAGGCGCUUUCGGGUGUCGCUGAUGGAUGGACCCGCGGUGCAUUAGCUAGUUGGUGAGGUAACGGCUCACCAAGGCGACGAUGCAUAGCCGACCUGAGAGGGUGAUCGGCCACAUUGGGACUGAGACACGGCCCAAACUCCUACGGGAGGCAGCAGUAGGGAAUCUUCGGCAAUGGACGAAAGUCUGACCGAGCAACGCCGCGUGAGUGAAGAAGGUUUUCGGAUCGUAAAMYYYKGUUGUUAGAGAAGAACAAGGAUGAGAGUAACUGUUCAUCCCUUGACGGUAUCUAACCAGAAAGCCACGGCUAACUACGUGCCAGCAGCCGCGGUAAUACGUAGGUGGCAAGCGUUGUCCGGAUUUAUUGGGCGUAAAGCGAGCGCAGGCGGUUUCUUAAGUCUGAUGUGAAAGCCCCCGGCUCAACCGGGGAGGGUCAUUGGAAACUGGGAGACUUGAGUGCAGAAGAGGAGAGUGGAAUUCCAUGUGUAGCGGUGAAAUGCGUAGAUAUAUGGAGGAACACCAGUGGCGAAGGCGGCUCUCUGGUCUGUAACUGACGCUGAGGCUCGAAAGCGUGGGGAGCAAACAGGAUUAGAUACCCUGGUAGUCCACGCCGUAAACGAUGAGUGCUAAGUGUUGGAGGGUUUCCGCCCUUCAGUGCUGCAGCUAACGCAUUAAGCACUCCGCCUGGGGAGUACGACCGCAAGGUUGAAACUCAAAGGAAUUGACGGGGGCCCGCACAAGCGGUGGAGCAUGUGGUUUAAUUCGAAGCAACGCGAAGAACCUUACCAGGUCUUGACAUCCUUUGACCACUCUAGAGAUAGAGCUUCCCCUUCGGGGSCAAAGUGACAGGUGGUGCAUGGUUGUCGUCAGCUCGUGUCGUGAGAUKKUKGGKUWAGUCCCGCAACGAGCGCAACCCUUAUUGUUAGUUGCCAUCAUUUAGUUGGGCACUYYWRSMAGACUGCSGKKRMMAMMSSRGRRRRRKGKGGRKRWSRYKYMAWMWMWUCAUGCCCCUUUAUGACCUKGGSUACACACGUGCUACAAUGGGAAGUACAACGAGUCGCAAAGUCGCGAGGCUAAGCUAAUCUCUUAAAGCUUCUCUCAGUUCGGAUUGUAGGCUGCAACUCGCCUACAUGAAGCCGGAAUCGCUAGUAAUCGCGGAUCAGCACGCCGCGGUGAAUACGUUCCCGGGCCUUGUACACACCGCCCGUCACACCACGAGAGUUUGUAACACCCGAAGUCGGUGAGGUAACCUUUGGAGCCAGUCACCUAUAGAUGUAUUCCC
Molecule: ribosomal RNA, 1464 nt
Filed under: Enterococcus hirae
Lineage: Bacteria; Bacillati; Bacillota; Bacilli; Lactobacillales; Enterococcaceae
Description: partial 16S ribosomal RNA
Source: RNAcentral